Molecule: long non-coding RNA, 234 nt
Organism: Drosophila arizonae
Lineage: Eukaryota; Metazoa; Arthropoda; Insecta; Diptera; Drosophilidae
Source: RefSeq, a predicted model, not a curated record
UAACGAGUACCUAGUCAAAAGUAACGACUAGGUAAGGGUAACGAGUACCUAAUCAAAAGUAACGAGUAGCGAGUCAAAAGUAACUAGUUGAAAGUAACGCUUCACAAAGAGGCUAGCAACGACUUUUAGUUUAACUGACUAACACGCGCGUCCUUCCGCCGUCCUGUCAGUCCGUCCAAGUCUAACUUAAUAUGUGUGUGUGUGUGUGUGUGUGUGUGUGUGUGUGUGUGUGUG